Molecule: unclassified non-coding RNA, 1301 nt
Filed under: uncultured alveolate
Lineage: Eukaryota
Description: sequence contains 18S rRNA gene, ITS1, 5.8S rRNA gene, ITS2, 28S rRNA gene
Rfam family: Eukaryotic large subunit ribosomal RNA (bases 369-1301)
Source: RNAcentral
GGAAGGAUCAUUCGUAUUCUUCAAACAAUCUCUUCAGCUGGUGUGAUUCACUUCUUAAAUUCUUACUAAACAAAUUUAUACUUUCAACGAUGGAUGUCUCGGGUUUCUCAACGAAGAAGAGCGCAGCAAACUGCGAUAAGCAGAAUGACAAGCACUCACAUGAAUCAUCAGAUUCUUGAACGCAAAUGGCAGUUGUUUGGUUCUCCAACGACUAUGUUUGCUUCAGUGUCAUAUAAAGACAUUUCUCUUCUAGUAAGAGAGUGAUUGACAAGUACAUCUAGUAUUUGUUUGAAGUUUAAUUGUUCAUCGACAAGAUGCAUUCGGAACAUCCCGCUCUGGAUCUCGUUGACUUCAAUCUCUUCUCCUUUUGACCUGAAGUCAAGCAAGGCUACCCGCUGAAUUUAAGCAUAUAAUUAAGCGGAGGAAAAGAAACUAACUAGGAUUCCCUUAGUAGUGGCGAACGAAGUGGGAAUAGCCCAAACCGUUAAUCGAUUGUCUCUGACAUUCGAAUUGAGGUUUGCUGAGAUACCAGAAGAGUACCAGGGUGAAGCCUCGUGGAUGCGAGCGUCAUAGAGGGUGAGGACCCCGUCCUUACUCUGAGUACUACUUCGUACGGUACUCAGCUAAUGAGUCGUGUUCCUUGGGAGUGGAGCGCAAAUUGGGUGGUAGCUUUCAUCCACGGCUAAAUACUGGAGAAACACCGAUAGUGAAGAAGUACCGUGAGGGAAAGAUGAAAAGAGCCUCGAGAGGGGUCUUAAAAUUGCCUGAAACCGUUGAAAGGGAAGCGAUUGGAGAUUUAUUGCUAGUGUUAUGACAGAUUUCUUCAAUUCUCAAUGACAUUGCGCAAGCAUGGCUUGAGGAAAGUAGAUGUCUAUUAUGACAUGCGAGCCGGUUGGGUCUGAAUCUGUUGCGGACACUGAAGUUGUGCUUUGAUUUAUCUUAGUUGCUUUAAUGUUCAGCGCAGUUUUGGGCGAGUAAUGUAGCCGUCGCAAAGAUCUUCAAACGACCCGUCUUGAAACACGGACCAAGGAGUCUAACUUACGUGCAAGUCCUAAGGUGGUAAACCUCAAGGCAGAAUGAAAGUGAUAGUUUCGAUAUUUGCAGAAACGACCGACUUCCGCAAGGAGGUUUGUGUGUGAGCAUGUAGGUUCGGACCCGAAAGAUGGUGAACUAUGCCUGAAUAGGGUGAAGCCAGGGGAAACCCUGGUGGCGGCUCGUAGCGAUACUGACGUGCAAAUCGUUCGUCAAAUUUGGGUAUAGGGGCGAAAGACUAAUCGAACCAUCUAGUAGCUGGUUCCCUC